ACGGAGGGUGCUAGCGUUGUUCGGAAUUAUUGGGCGUAAAGAGCGUGUAGGCGGCCUCGUAAGUCAGAUGUGAAAGCCCUUGGCUUAACCAAGGAAGUGCAUUUGAAACUGCUUGGCUUGAGUACGGGAGGGGAAAGCGGAAUUCCCGGUGUAGAGGUGAAAUUCGUAGAUAUCGGGAGGAACACCGGUGGCGAAGGCGGCUUUCUGGACCGAUACUGACGCUGAGACGCGAAAGCGUGGGGAGCAAACAG
Molecule: ribosomal RNA, 251 nt
Filed under: uncultured prokaryote
Description: partial 16S rRNA
Rfam family: Bacterial small subunit ribosomal RNA
Source: RNAcentral